UACGAAGGGGACUAGCGUUGUUCGGAAUUACUGGGCGUAAAGCGCACGUAGGCGGAUUUGUAAGUCAGGGGUGAAAUCCCGGGGCUCAACCUCGGAACUGCCUUUGAUACUGCAAAUCUCGAGUCCGAUAGAGGUGGGUGGAAUUCCUAGUGUAGAGGUGAAAUUCGUAGAUAUUCGCAAGAACACCAGUGGCGAAGGCGGCUCACUGGCCCGAUACUGACGCUGAGGCACGAAAGCGUGGGGAGCAAACAGGG
This 254-nucleotide ribosomal RNA is filed under the name uncultured bacterium. RNAcentral's name for it is "partial 16S ribosomal RNA". It matches the Rfam family "Bacterial small subunit ribosomal RNA", at positions 524 to 777 of the family's 1533-position model. The record is from RNAcentral.